UCUUGCCGUGAGGAAAGUCCGGGCUCCGCAGAGCAGGAUAACGGAUAACGUCCGCCGAAGGCGACUUCAGGGCCAGUGCAACAGAAAUAAACCGCCGCGUUUUCGCGGCAAGGAUGGAAAGGCGAGGUAAGAGCUCACCGGCGUGCGGGAGACCGCACGGCCAUGUAAACCCUAUCCGGAGCAACACCGCAUAAGAAGCGUUAAUGCUUGCUCGGCAGCUUCAAAGGUGGCAAAGACGUUUGCGGCAACGUAAACGCAAGAUAGAUGAUUGUUUUUAACAGAACCCGGCUUACAGGUGCGG
This 301-nucleotide RNase P RNA is filed under the name bovine gut metagenome. RNAcentral describes it as "Bacterial RNase P class A". It matches the Rfam family "Bacterial RNase P class A", at positions 34 to 356 of the family's 367-position model. From Rfam's summary of the family: Ribonuclease P (RNase P) is a ubiquitous endoribonuclease, found in archaea, bacteria and eukarya as well as chloroplasts and mitochondria. Its best characterised activity is the generation of mature 5'-ends of tRNAs by cleaving the 5'-leader elements of precursor-tRNAs. Cellular RNase Ps are ribonucleoproteins. The record is from RNAcentral.